Molecule: ribosomal RNA, 920 nt
Filed under: Halogeometricum sp. enrichment culture clone SVC_B07
Lineage: Archaea; Methanobacteriati; Methanobacteriota; Halobacteria; Halobacteriales; Haloferacaceae
Description: bacterial SSU rRNA
Rfam family: Archaeal small subunit ribosomal RNA
Source: RNAcentral
UCGGAUUCCGAUUUAGCCUGCUAGUUGCGCGAGUUCAGACUCGCAGCAGAUAGCUCAGUAACACGUGGUCAAUCUACCCUGCAGACACGGACAACCUCGGGAAACUGAGGCUAAUCCGCGAUACCGAUCCCACGCUGGAAUGCCGGGAUCCACAAACGCUCCGGCGCUGCAGGAUGCGGCUGCGGCCGAUUAGGUAGACGGUGGGGUAACGGCCCACCGUGCCGAUAAUCGGUACGGGUUGUGAGAGCAAGAGCCCGGAGACGGAAUCUGAGACAAGAUUCCGGGCCCUACGGGGCGCAGCAGGCGCGAAACCUUUACACUGCACGCAAGUGCGAUAAGGGGACUCCGAGUGCGAGGGCAUAUAGUCCUCGCUUUUGAGAACCGUAAGGUGGUUCUCGAAUAAGAGCUGGGCAAGACCGGUGCCAGCCGCCGCGGUAAUACCGGCAGCUCAAGUGAUGGCCAAUCUUAUUGGGCCUAAAGCGUCCGUAGCUGGCCGUGAAAGUUCGUCGGGAAAUCCAUCCGCUCAACGGAUGGGCGUCCGGCGAAAACUUCGCGGCUUGGGACCGGAAGGCUCGAGGGGUACGUCCGGGGUAGGAGUGAAAUCCUGUAAUCCUGGACGGACCGCCGAUGGCGAAAGCACCUCGAGAAGACGGAUCCGACAGUGAGGGACGAAAGCUAGGGUCUCGAACCGGAUUAGAUACCCGGGUAGUCCUAGCCGUAAACGAUGUUCACUAGGUGUGGCACAGGCUACGAGCCUGUGCUGUGCCGUAGGGAAGCCGAGAAGUGACCGCCUGGGAAGUACGUCCGCAAGGAUGAAACUUAAAGGAAUUGGCGGGGGAGCACUACAACCGGAGGAGCUUGCGGUUUAUUUGGACUCACGGCCGGACAUCUCACCAGCUCCGACUACAGUAAUGACGGGU